AUACGGAGGGUGCAAGCGUUAAUCGGAAUUACUGGGCGUAAAGCGCGCGUAGGCGGCUUGGUAAGUCGGAUGUGAAAUCCCCGGGCUUAACCUGGGAAUUGCAUUCGAUACUGUCAGGCUAGAGUGUGAUAGAGGGAAGUGGAAUUUCCGGUGUAGCGGUGAAAUGCGUAGAUAUCGGAAGGAACACCAGUGGCGAAGGCGGCUUCCUGGACCAACACUGACGCUGAGGCGCGAAAGCGUGGGGAGCAAACAGAAUUAGAAACCCUUGUAGUCC
This 274-nucleotide ribosomal RNA is filed under the name uncultured bacterium. Its description in RNAcentral is "partial 16S ribosomal RNA". It matches the Rfam family "Bacterial small subunit ribosomal RNA", at positions 523 to 796 of the family's 1533-position model. The record is from RNAcentral.